Molecule: ribosomal RNA, 1018 nt
Filed under: Rhodanobacter sp.
Lineage: Bacteria; Pseudomonadati; Pseudomonadota; Gammaproteobacteria; Lysobacterales; Rhodanobacteraceae
Description: bacterial SSU rRNA
Rfam family: Bacterial small subunit ribosomal RNA
Source: RNAcentral
ACUUUUAUCAGGAACGAAAUACCACGGGUUAAUAACCUAUGGGGCUGACGGUACCUGAGGAAUAAGCACUGGCUAACUUCGUGCCAGCAGCCGCGGUAAUACGAAGGGUGCAAGCGUUAAUCGGAAUUACUGGGCGUAAAGGGUGCGUAGGCGGUUAUUUAAGUCUGUCGUGAAAUCCCCGGGCUCAACCUGGGAAUGGCGAUGGAUACUGGAUAGCUAGAGUGUGUCAGAGGAUGGUGGAAUUCCCGGUGUAGCGGUGAAAUGCGUAGAGAUCGGGAGGAACAUCAGUGGCGAAGGCGGCCAUCUGGGACAACACUGACGCUGAAGCACGAAAGCGUGGGGAGCAAACAGGAUUAGAUACCCUGGUAGUCCACGCCCUAAACGAUGCGAACUGGAUGUUGGUCUCAACUCGGAGAUCAGUGUCGAAGCUAACGCGUUAAGUUCGCCGCCUGGGGAGUACGGUCGCAAGACUGAAACUCAAAGGAAUUGACGGGGGCCCGCACAAGCGGUGGAGUAUGUGGUUUAAUUCGAUGCAACGCGAAGAACCUUACCUGGCCUUGACAUGUCUGGAAUCCUUGAGAGAUCGAGGAGUGCCUUCGGGAAUCAGAACACAGGUGCUGCAUGGCUGUCGUCAGCUCGUGUCGUGAGAUGUUGGGUUAAGUCCCGCAACGAGCGCAACCCUUGUCCUUAGUUGCCAGCACGUAAUGGUGGGAACUCUAAGGAGACUGCCGGUGACAAACCGGAGGAAGGUGGGGAUGACGUCAAGUCCUCAUGGCCCUUACGGCCAGGGCUACACACGUACUACAAUGGUCGGUACAGAGGGUUGCAAUACCGCGAGGUGGAGCCAAUCCCAGAAAGCCGAUCCCAGUCCGGAUCGAAGUCUGCAACUCGACUUCGUGAAGUCGGAAUCGCUAGUAAUCGCGGAUCAGCUAUGCCGCGGUGAAUACGUUCGCCGGGCCUUGUACACACCGCCCGUCACACCAUGGGAGUGGGUUGCUCCAGAAGGCGUUAGUCUAAC